CUAGAGUAUAGCCCAGAGAAAUUUGGAUUAAUCCUCUAUAAUAUCUUUUAAUCUCCUGAUUUUAAGAUUAAAGUUUUAACGGUAAAAGAUGGGCAUGCGUCCUAUUAGUUUGUAGGUGAGGUAACGGCUCACCUAGACUACGAUAGGUAGGGGCCCUGAGAGGGGGAUCCCCCACACUGGUACUGAGACACGGACCAGACUCCUACGGGAGGCAGCAGUAAGGAAUAUUGGACAAUGGACGAAAGUCUGAUCCAGCCAUGCCGCGUGCAGGAUGACAGCCCUACGGGUUGUAAACUGCUUUUUACAGGA
RNAcentral lists this ribosomal RNA (309 nucleotides) under uncultured bacterium. RNAcentral describes it as "bacterial SSU rRNA". It matches the Rfam family "Bacterial small subunit ribosomal RNA", at positions 136 to 444 of the family's 1533-position model. The record is from RNAcentral.